Molecule: ribosomal RNA, 2933 nt
Filed under: Bacillus velezensis
Lineage: Bacteria; Bacillati; Bacillota; Bacilli; Caryophanales; Bacillaceae
Description: 23S ribosomal RNA
Rfam family: Bacterial large subunit ribosomal RNA
Source: RNAcentral
CGGUUAAGUUAGAAAGGGCGCACGGUGGAUGCCUUGGCACUAGGAGCCGAUGAAGGACGGGACGAACACCGAUAUGCUUCGGGGAGCUGUAAGCAAGCUUUGAUCCGGAGAUUUCCGAAUGGGGAAACCCACCACUCGUAAUGGAGUGGUAUCCAUAUCUGAAUACAUAGGAUAUGAGAAGGCAGACCCGGGGAACUGAAACAUCUAAGUACCCGGAGGAAGAGAAAGCAAAUGCGAUUCCCUGAGUAGCGGCGAGCGAAACGGGACCAGCCCAAACCAAGAGGCUUGCCUCUUGGGGUUGUAGGACACUCUGUACGGAGUUACAAAGGAACGAGGUAGAUGAAGAGGUCUGGAAAGGCCCGCCAUAGGAGGUAACAGCCCUGUAGUCAAAACUUCGUUCUCUCCUGAGUGGAUCCUGAGUACGGCGGAACACGUGAAAUUCCGUCGGAAUCCGGGAGGACCAUCUCCCAAGGCUAAAUACUCCCUAGUGACCGAUAGUGAACCAGUACCGUGAGGGAAAGGUGAAAAGCACCCCGGAAGGGGAGUGAAAGAGAUCCUGAAACCGUGUGCCUACAAGUAGUCAGAGCCCGUUAACGGGUGAUGGCGUGCCUUUUGUAGAAUGAACCGGCGAGUUACGAUCCCGUGCAAGGUUAAGCAGAAGAUGCGGAGCCGCAGCGAAAGCGAGUCUGAAUAGGGCGAAUUGAGUACGUGGUCGUAGACCCGAAACCAGGUGAUCUACCCAUGUCCAGGGUGAAGUUCAGGUAACACUGAAUGGAGGCCCGAACCCACGCACGUUGAAAAGUGCGGGGAUGAGGUGUGGGUAGGGGUGAAAUGCCAAUCGAACCUGGAGAUAGCUGGUUCUCUCCGAAAUAGCUUUAGGGCUAGCCUCAAGGUAAGAGUCUCGGAGGUAGAGCACUGAUUGGACUAGGGGCCCCUACCGGGUUACCGAAUUCAGUCAAACUCCGAAUGCCGAUGACUUAUCCUUGGGAGUCAGACUGCGAGUGAUAAGAUCCGUAGUCGAAAGGGAAACAGCCCAGACCGCCAGCUAAGGUCCCAAAGUAUACGUUAAGUGGAAAAGGAUGUGGAGUUGCUUAGACAACCAGGAUGUUGGCUUAGAAGCAGCCACCAUUUAAAGAGUGCGUAAUAGCUCACUGGUCGAGUGACUCUGCGCCGAAAAUGUACCGGGGCUAAACGUAUCACCGAAGCUGCGGACUGUUCUUCGAACAGUGGUAGGAGAGCGUUCUAAGGGCUGUGAAGCAAGACCGGAAGGACUUGUGGAGCGCUUAGAAGUGAGAAUGCCGGUAUGAGUAGCGAAAGAGGGGUGAGAAUCCCCUCCACCGAAUGCCUAAGGUUUCCUGAGGAAGGCUCGUCCGCUCAGGGUUAGUCGGGACCUAAGCCGAGGCCGAAAGGCGUAGGCGAUGGAUAACAGGUUGAUAUUCCUGUACCACCUCCUCACCAUUUGAGCAAUGGGGGGACGCAGGAGGAUAGGGUAAGCGCGGUAUUGGAUAUCCGCGUCCAAGCAGUUAGGCUGGGAAAUAGGCAAAUCCGUUUCCCGUGAAGGCUGAGCUGUGAUGGCGAGCGAAUUAUAGUAGCGAAGUUCCUGAUUCCACACUGCCAAGAAAAGCCUCUAGCGAGGUGAGAGGUGCCCGUACCGCAAACCGACACAGGUAGGCGAGGAGAGAAUCCUAAGGUGAUCGAGAGAACUCUCGUUAAGGAACUCGGCAAAAUGACCCCGUAACUUCGGGAGAAGGGGUGCUCUGUUAGGGUGCAAGCCCGAGAGAGCCGCAGUGAAUAGGCCCAGGCGACUGUUUAGCAAAAACACAGGUCUCUGCGAAGCCGUAAGGCGAAGUAUAGGGGCUGACGCCUGCCCGGUGCUGGAAGGUUAAGAGGAGCGCUUAGCGUAAGCGAAGGUGCGAAUUGAAGCCCCAGUAAACGGCGGCCGUAACUAUAACGGUCCUAAGGUAGCGAAAUUCCUUGUCGGGUAAGUUCCGACCCGCACGAAAGGCGCAACGAUCUGGGCACUGUCUCAACGAGAGACUCGGUGAAAUUAUAGUACCUGUGAAGAUGCAGGUUACCCGCGACAGGACGGAAAGACCCCGUGGAGCUUUACUGCAGCCUGAUAUUGAAUGUUGGUACAGCUUGUACAGGAUAGGUAGGAGCCUUGGAAACCGGAGCGCCAGCUUCGGUGGAGGCAUCGGUGGGAUACUACCCUGGCUGUAUUGACCUUCUAACCCGCCGCCCUUAUCGGGCGGGGAGACAGUGUCAGGUGGACAGUUUGACUGGGGCGGUCGCCUCCUAAAAGGUAACGGAGGCGCCCAAAGGUUCCCUCAGAAUGGUUGGAAAUCAUUCGCAGAGUGUAAAGGCACAAGGGAGCUUGACUGCGAGACCUACAAGUCGAGCAGGGACGAAAGUCGGGCUUAGUGAUCCGGUGGUUCCGCAUGGAAGGGCCAUCGCUCAACGGAUAAAAGCUACCCCGGGGAUAACAGGCUUAUCUCCCCAAGAGUCCACAUCGACGGGGAGGUUUGGCACCUCGAUGUCGGCUCAUCGCAUCCUGGGGCUGUAGUCGGUCCCAAGGGUUGGGCUGUUCGCCCAUUAAAGCGGUACGCGAGCUGGGUUCAGAACGUCGUGAGACAGUUCGGUCCCUAUCCGUCGCGGGCGCAGGAAAUUUGAGAGGAGCUGUCCUUAGUACGAGAGGACCGGGAUGGACGCACCGCUGGUGUACCAGUUGUUCUGCCAAGGGCAUCGCUGGGUAGCUAUGUGCGGACGGGAUAAGUGCUGAAAGCAUCUAAGCAUGAAGCCCCCCUCAAGAUGAGAUUUCCCAUUCCGCAAGGAAGUAAGAUCCCUGAAAGAUGAUCAGGUUGAUAGGUCUGAGGUGGAAGUGUGGCGACACAUGGAGCUGACAGAUACUAAUCGAUCGAGGACUUAACCAAUUU